RNAcentral lists this ribosomal RNA (158 nucleotides) under Alternaria sp. Its description in RNAcentral is "5.8S ribosomal RNA". It matches the Rfam family "5.8S ribosomal RNA". Rfam says of the family: 5.8S ribosomal RNA (5.8S rRNA) is a component of the large subunit of the eukaryotic ribosome. Lineage: Eukaryota; Fungi; Ascomycota; Dothideomycetes; Pleosporales; Pleosporaceae. The record is from RNAcentral.
CAACUUUCAACAACGGAUCUCUUGGUUCUGGCAUCGAUGAAGAACGCAGCGAAAUGCGAUACGUAGUGUGAAUUGCAGAAUUCAGUGAAUCAUCGAAUCUUUGAACGCACAUUGCGCCCUUUGGUAUUCCAAAGGGCAUGCCUGAUCGAGCGUCAUUU